CCCUGCGUCGAUAUAAGGCCCCAAUCCCAUCUCAUCAAGACAUUUCAUUACCCCAAACUAAAAUGUUUCUGUUACCUUAGCCAAACCAAGAUUGAGGAAAAUAAUUCGGAACACUAGUUGUGCUGACCAACCAACCAUGUUUCCUUUACAACGCGGCAAUGAGCUGGUAAUCCAGUUUUCUAAUGGUCACCACCCGCAGCACAAAAUCUCCCAAGAUCUGAUUCUGGAUGAUCAAGAUAUCGAUCAAUCUCCCCUUGUCGGUUAUUCCGAUAAAAAAUUGCGUACUAGCCGUCCAAAAAAACUAUUUUAUCAUGAGGCUGAUACCUGCCACGCUAAUUCUAACCAAGAAUAUACAAAAAAGAUGGUUCAUAGAGAGAUUGAAAAGCAAAGGAGGCAAGAAAUGGCUACCCUUCAUGCCUCUCUUAGAUCCCUUCUCCCUCUUGACUUCAUCAAGGGAAAGCGUUCGAUAUCUGAUCAAAUGAACGAGGCAGUGAAUUACAUAAAUCACCUUCAGAAGAAUAUUAAAGAAUUGAGUGACAAGAGGGAUAAGCUUAAGAAGAAACCCUCCAUAAUUAAUUCCAGCCCUGAAGACCAUGAGAAUUACAAGCAUGCAUCUAGCGGUUUCACUGUCCACCAGAAUAGUGGUGGAGCUGUGGGGAUUGAAAUCAGUGGAUUCAGUGAGGAAGAGGUUCCACUUUCGAAAUUGCUUGAACUGGUGUUUGAAGAGGGACUUGAAGUUGUUAAUUGUCUUUCAACCAAAGUCAAUGGCAGAUUACUCCACAGUUUGCAGUGUGAGGUUGACAAUUCCGGCAGUGUAGAUCUAUCUGAGCUGAGAAGGAAAUUUUCCGAUGUCAUUCCAUCACUUCGUUGUUCUGCGUAACUUUGUGGACUGGAAAUUAACACAUAACACAUAUAUCUGCCCUUUCUAACUGUUUAUCUCAACUCUCAAGUGAUGAACACCAGCACAGAAUAUUUUGAUAAUUAAGUAAGGAAGCAUAGGAUAGAUAUAACGUUAAGAAGAAGAAAAUUAUUUCAAUAGUGUAACGAAUCUGCUUCAUGCUUCCCUUAGCUUAAUAAUAAUUCCAUCAUGGCAUCAUUAUUAAUGCUCUGCAAAUAUGUGAAGGAGAUGCCCUCUUAUUAGCCACUUCCCCCUUUUAUAUAGUUUAUCAUCAGAAGGACCUUGUUGAUAUUCUUUAAGUGAUUAUUUCUAAAGUAGAAUCUGGAUAUUAAUUUGGUUCUAUAUACAUUACUUUUGUUUCA
Molecule: RNA transcript, 1260 nt
Organism: Glycine soja
Lineage: Eukaryota; Viridiplantae; Streptophyta; Magnoliopsida; Fabales; Fabaceae
Gene name: transcription factor bHLH118-like
Exons: 4
Source: RefSeq, a predicted model, not a curated record